AACGAACGCUGGCGGCAUGCCUAACACAUGCAAGACGAACGAGACCUUCGGGUCUAGUGGCGCACGGGUGCGUAACGCGUGGGAACCUGCCCUUAGGUUCGGAAUAACUCCCCGAAAGGGGUGCUAAUACCGGAUAAUGUCUUCGGACCAAAGAUUUAUCGCCUUUGGAUGGGCCCGCGUUGGAUUAGCUAGUUGGUAGGGUAAAAGGCUACCAAGGCGACGAUCCAUAGCUGGUCUGAGAGGAUGAUCAGCCACACUGGGACUGAGACACGGCCCAGACUCCUACGGGAGGCAGCAGUGGGGAAUAUUGGACAAUGGGCGAAAGCCUGAUCCAGCAAUGCCGCGUGAGUGAUGAAGGCCUUAGGGUUGUAAAGCUCUUUUACCCGGGAUGAUAAUGACAGUACCGGGAGAAUAAGCGCCGGCUAACUCCGUG
This 433-nucleotide ribosomal RNA is filed under the name uncultured bacterium. Its description in RNAcentral is "partial 16S ribosomal RNA". It matches the Rfam family "Bacterial small subunit ribosomal RNA", at positions 29 to 507 of the family's 1533-position model. The record is from RNAcentral.